RNAcentral lists this ribosomal RNA (464 nucleotides) under uncultured bacterium. Its description in RNAcentral is "partial 16S ribosomal RNA". It matches the Rfam family "Bacterial small subunit ribosomal RNA", at positions 28 to 503 of the family's 1533-position model. The record is from RNAcentral.
GACGAACGCUGGCGGCGUGCUUAACACAUGCAAGUCGAACGGAAAGGCCCUGCUUUUGUGGGGUGCUCGAGUGGCGAACGGGUGAGUAACACGUGAGUAACCUGCCCUUGACUUUGGGAUAACUUCAGGAAACUGGGGCUAAUACCGGAUAGGAGCUCCUGCUGCAUGGUGGGGGUUGGAAAGUUUCGGCGGUUGGGGAUGGACUCGCGGCUUAUCAGCUUGUUGGUGGGGUAGUGGCUUACCAAGGCUUUGACGGGUAGCCGGCCUGAGAGGGUGACCGGCCACAUUGGGACUGAGAUACGGCCCAGACUCCUACGGGAGGCAGCAGUGGGGAAUAGUGCACAAUGGGCGGAAGCCUGAUGCAGCAACGCCGCGUGCGGGAUGACGGCCUUCGGGUUGUAAACCGCUUUCGACUGUGACGAAGCGUGAGUGACGGUAAUGGGUAAAGAAGCACCGGCUAACUA